Capsicum annuum is the source of this 227-nucleotide long non-coding RNA. RefSeq lists it as uncharacterized. The record is from RefSeq and is a predicted model, not a curated record. The transcript has 3 exons. NCBI's taxonomy places the organism in Eukaryota, Viridiplantae, Streptophyta, Magnoliopsida, Solanales, Solanaceae.
UGCUGCAUAAGCUGCACCAGAGAAAAAGCUCGACUUUCUUUUUCUUUCAGGGGAGCUGUAUAUGCAUCAUUGCCGAUUAUUGCGAAGAUGAAAAUAUGGCGGAGGUCAUGAGGAAGUCUAGAGGAGAACUUUUCCCAGAAGAGAAACUCUGCAAAUGGCUGACUCAUCUAUUGUUAGCUUUGGAGCAUCUGCAUUCCAACCGCGUUCAUCAUAGAGACAUCAAGGUA